This 787-nucleotide ribosomal RNA is filed under the name Escherichia coli. Its description in RNAcentral is "bacterial LSU rRNA". It matches the Rfam family "Bacterial large subunit ribosomal RNA", at positions 1 to 821 of the family's 2925-position model. The record is from RNAcentral. Lineage: Bacteria; Pseudomonadati; Pseudomonadota; Gammaproteobacteria; Enterobacterales; Enterobacteriaceae.
GGGUUGUGAGGUUAAGCGACUAAGCGUACACGGUGGAUGCCCUGGCAGUCAGAGGCGAUGAAGGACGUGCUAAUCUGCGAUAAGCGUCGGUAAGGUGAUAUGAACCGUUAUAACCGGCGAUUUCCGAAUGGGGAAACCCAGUGUGUUUCGACACACUAUCAUUAACUGAAUCCAUAGGUUAAUGAGGCGAACCGGGGGAACUGAAACAUCUAAGUACCCCGAGGAAAAGAAAUCAACCGAGAUUCCCCCAGUAGCGGCGAGCGAACGGGGAGCAGCCCAGAGUCUGAAUCAGUGUGUGUGUUAGUGGAAGCGUCUGGAAAGGCGCGCGAUACAGGGUGACAGCCCCGUACACAAAAAUGCACAUAUUGUGAGCUCGAUGAGUAGGGCGGGACACGUGGUAUCCUGUCUGAAUAUGGGGGGACCAUCCUCCAAGGCUAAAUACUCCUGACUGACCGAUAGUGAACCAGUACCGUGAGGGAAAGGCGAAAAGAACCCCGGCGAGGGGAGUGAAAAAGAACCUGAAACCGUGUACGUACAAGCAGUGGGAGCACGCUUAGGCGUGUGACUGCGUACCUUUUGUAUAAUGGGUCAGCGACUUAUAUUCUGUAGCAAGGUUAACCGAAUAGGGGAGCCGAAGGGAAACCGAGUCUUAACUGGGCGUUAAGUUGCAGGGUAUAGACCCGAAACCCGGUGAUCUAGCCAUGGGCAGGUUGAAGGUUGGGUAACACUAACUGGAGGACCGAACCGACUAAUGUUGAAAAAUUAGCGGAUGACUUGUGGCUGGGGG